Molecule: transfer-messenger RNA, 371 nt
Filed under: Burkholderiaceae bacterium
Lineage: Bacteria; Pseudomonadati; Pseudomonadota; Betaproteobacteria; Burkholderiales; Burkholderiaceae
Rfam family: transfer-messenger RNA
About the family: Bacterial tmRNA, also known as 10Sa RNA or SsrA, is named for its dual tRNA and mRNA-like properties. Its role is to liberate the mRNA from a stalled ribosome.
Source: RNAcentral
GGGGCCGACCAGGUUUCGACGUGGAUGCGGAUCCGAUGUAGGGCAUGUCGAGCACCAGUUCGCUCGUAAAUCCACUGGAAACAAACUAACUGCAAACGAUCAAACGUUCGCACUCGCCGCUUAAAACCGGUGAGCCUCACAACAGUUGGCCGAUGGGCUGGGCUGGAGUCGCAAGACAAAGGCUGUGAGGUCAUUCACAUUGGCUGGUUCUUUGCCGGGUCACUCGGUAGAGAACAAGAUUAAGUGACUGGCGAAUCCUGUAGCGUGCCACUGCGCGACAGGGUUCGUGAGACUCAAAUCAGACGGCUACACAUGUAGAACUGCUCGGUGAUGGUUUACGGACGGGGGUUCAAUUCCCCCCGGCUCCACCA